RNAcentral lists this ribosomal RNA (252 nucleotides) under uncultured bacterium. Its description in RNAcentral is "partial 16S ribosomal RNA". It matches the Rfam family "Bacterial small subunit ribosomal RNA", at positions 524 to 776 of the family's 1533-position model. The record is from RNAcentral.
UACAGAGACUGCAAGCGUUAUUCGGAUUCACUGGGCGUAAAGGGUGCGCAGGCGGCCAAGUGUGUUAGGCGUGAAAGCCCGAGGCUUAACCUCGGAAUUGCACCUAAACUACAUGGCUAGAGUACUGGAGAGGGUAACGGAAUUCACGGUGUAGCAGUGAAAUGCGUAGAUAUCGUGAGGAACACCAGAGGCGAAGGCGGUUACCUGGACAGUUACUGACGCUCAGGCACGAAAGCGUGGGGAGCAAAAGGG